UUAUCAAAGAUUUAUUGCUUUGAGAUGGACCCGCGGCGCAUUAGCUAGUUGGUAAGGUAACGGCUUACCAAGGCAACGAUGCGUAGCCGACCUGAGAGGGUGAUCGGCCACAUUGGAACUGAGACACGGUCCAGACUCCUACGGGAGGCAGCAGUGGGGAAUAUUGCGCAAUGGGGGAAACCCUGACGCAGCAACGCCGCGUGGGUGAUGAAGGUCUUCGGAUUGUAAAGCCCUGUUUUCUAGGACGAUAAUGACGGUACUAGAGGAGGAAGCCACGGCUAACUACGUGCCAGCAGCCGCGGUAAUACGUAGGUGGCGAGCGUUGUCCGGAUUUACUGGGCGUAAAGGGUGCGUAGGCGGAUGUUUAAGUGGGAUGUGAAAUCCCCGGGCUUAACCUGGGGGCUGCAUUCCAAACUGGAUAUCUAGAGUGCAGGAGAGGAAAGCGGAAUUCCUAGUGUAGCGGUGAAAUGCGUAGAGAUUAGGAAGAACACCAGUGGCGAAGGCGGCUUUCUGGACUGUAACUGACGCUGAGGCACGAAAGCGUGGGUAGCAAACAGGAUUAGAUACCCUGGUAGUCCACGCCGUAAACGAUGGAUACUAGGUGUAGGGGGUAUCAACUCCCCCUGUGCCGCAGUUAACACAAUAAGUAUCCCGCCUGGGGAGUACGGUCGCAAGAUUAAAACUCAAAGGAAUUGACGGGGGCCCGCACAAGCAGCGGAGCAUGUGGUUUAAUUCGAAGCAACGCGAAGAACCUUACCUGGACUUGACAUCCCUUGCAUAGCCUAGAGAUAGGUGAAGCCCUUCGGGGCAAGGAGACAGGUGGUGCAUGGUUGUCGUCAGCUCGUGUCGUGAGAUGUUAGGUUAAGUCCUGCAACGAGCGCAACCCUUGUUAUUAGUUGCUACCAUUAAGUUGAGCACUCUAAUGAGACUGCCUGGGUAACCAGGAGGAAGGUGGGGAUGACGUCAAAUCAUCAUGCCCCUUAUGUCCAGGGCUACACACGUGCUACAAUGGUAGGUACAAUAAGACGCAAGACCGUGAGGUGGAGCAAAACUUAUAAAACCUAUCUCAGUUCGGAUUGUAGGCUGCAACUCGCCUACAUGAAGCUGGAGUUGCUAGUAAUCGCGAAUCAGAAUGUCGCGGUGAAUACGUUCCCGGGCCUUGUACACACCGCCCGUCACACCAUGAGAGCUGGUAACACCCGAAGUCCGUGAGGUAACCGUAAGGAGCCAGCGGCCGAAGGUGGGAUUAGUGAUUGGGGUGAAGUCGUAACAAGGUAGCCGUAGGAGAACCUGCGGCUGGAUCACCUCCUUUCUA
RNAcentral lists this ribosomal RNA (1315 nucleotides) under Clostridium botulinum. RNAcentral's name for it is "bacterial SSU rRNA". It matches the Rfam family "Bacterial small subunit ribosomal RNA", at positions 198 to 1533 of the family's 1533-position model. The record is from RNAcentral. Lineage: Bacteria; Bacillati; Bacillota; Clostridia; Eubacteriales; Clostridiaceae.